CCUACGGGAGGCUGCAGUGGGGAAUAUUGGGCAAUGGGCGCAAGCCUGACCCAGCAACGCCGCGUGAGGGAAGAAGGCUUUCGGGUUGUAAACUUCUUUUCUCAGGGACGAAGAAAGUGACGGUACCUGAGGAAUAAGCCACGGCUAACUACGUGCAAGCACCCGCGGUAAUACGUAGGUGGCAAGCGUUAGCAGGAUUUAUGGGGUGUAAAGGGCGUGUAGGGGGGAGCGCAAGGCAGGUGUGAAAACUCAGGGCUCAACCCUGAGCGUGCAUUUGAAACUGUGUGUCUUGAGUGGUGGAGAGGCAAGCGGAAUUCCGGGUGUAGCGGUGAAAUGCGUAGAUAUAAGGAGGAACACCAGUGGCGAAGGCGGAUUGCUGGACAGUAACUGACGCUGAGGCGCGAAAGCGUGGGGAGCAAACAGGAUUAGAUACCCUUGUAGUC
RNAcentral lists this ribosomal RNA (443 nucleotides) under uncultured bacterium. RNAcentral's name for it is "partial 16S ribosomal RNA". It matches the Rfam family "Bacterial small subunit ribosomal RNA", at positions 338 to 795 of the family's 1533-position model. The record is from RNAcentral.